Molecule: long non-coding RNA, 1267 nt
Organism: Gasterosteus aculeatus aculeatus (three-spined stickleback)
Lineage: Eukaryota; Metazoa; Chordata; Actinopteri; Perciformes; Gasterosteidae
Source: Ensembl
UAAUAGAUAUAUUAGUGUAUAUAUAUAUAUAUAUGCAUAUAUAUACACUAAUAUAUAUAUAUAUAUGCAUAUAUAUACACUAAUAUAUAUAUAUAUAUAUAUAUAUAUAUAUAUAUAUAUAUAUAUAUAUAUCACACGUAUACAUGAACUCUUAACUUUUGACUCUGACACAUGUCAGAGUUAAAAGGCAGAUAUUUAAAACAGCUUAAAAUAAAUCGUUCAUGAGCUUUUAAACAACGGAUUUGAUUGUCUCAACUGAUGCACACAAGCUGUAGAUGGAACUACUAAGAAUAAAGUGUGUUUCUUACCUUUAGGAGUGACAGUCAGACGGAUCGGAUUCCCGAACAACAACACAGUGUUACAGGCUUGCACAAAAACCUCAGAGCUCAGAUGUCCUCAGAAACGAUGGAAAACGUAAGAAACCCACAAGACGUGAGGCCUCGAGUCUUUAGAGCUCAGAGGAACGAACACCGGCAGAUCUUCACAUUUAUGUGAGAAUAUUACACAGCGUCAGCAGCACAGACGCAGCAUUCAGUGAGAGUGAAGAAGAGUGAGUGAUUUCAGGUGAAGAGCCGCCAAGGACUCACCUGACACUCACCCAGGACUCACCUGGGACUCACCUGGGACUCACCUGGGACUCACCUGGGACUCACCUGGGGGUUGGGUGGGUCCCCCUUCUGAUUUUCAAUGUGUCCUGACUGGGACCAGAGACUCUACAGCCAACUGGAGGUUUCUGUUCAGCUCUAUGUGGAAAUUCAGUCACUGUGGGAUACCAAGUAGACACGGUGAAGACACCUCCUACAAAAACCUCCAAGGAAGAAAAGCCAGCACCACAAGGACUAAACCAGUACAGUACUGCCUCAGACCAGUGCAGACUGCCUUAGACCAGUGCAGACUGCCUUAGACCGGCAGAUCUUCACAUUGUGAGAAUAUUACACAGCGUCAGCAGCACAGACGCAGCAUUCAGUGAGAGUGAAGAAGAGUGAGUGAUUUCAGGUGAAGAGCCACCAAGGACUCACCUGACACUCACCUGACACUCACCUAGGACUCACCUGGGACUCACCUGGGACUCACCCGGGACUCACCCGAGACUCCCUUGGGGGUUGGGUGGGUCCCCCUUCUGAUUCUCAAUGUGUCCCGACGGACCAGAGACUCUACAGCCAACUGGAGGUUUCUGUUCAGCUCUAUGUGGAAAUUCAGUCACUGUGGGAUCCCACGUAGACACGGUGAAGACACCUCCUACAAAAACCUCCAAGGAAGAAAAGCC